GUGUCAGCCGCCGCGGUAAGACGAGCCACACAAACGUUAUUCGGAAUUACUGGGCUUAAAGGGUGCGUAGGCGGCGCGGAAAGUUGGGUGUGAAAUCCCUCGGCUCAACCGGGGAAUGGCGCCCAAAACUACCGUGCUCGAGGAAGACAGAGGUGAGCGGAACUCAGGGUGGAGCGGUGAAAUGCGUUGAUAUCCUGAGGAACACCGGUGGCGAAAGCGGCUCACUGGGUCUUAUCUGACGCUGAGGCACGAAAGCUAGGGUAGCGAACGGGAUUAGAAACCCGUGUAGUCC
Molecule: ribosomal RNA, 292 nt
Filed under: uncultured bacterium
Lineage: Bacteria
Description: partial 16S ribosomal RNA
Rfam family: Bacterial small subunit ribosomal RNA
Source: RNAcentral